UAUUUAUUGUAUUGUUUCCCUGCAUCAUUCUGCAUUUAUGUAAAUUCAGCUGUGAGGUUGCCUGGAGGAGAUUGGAUCUUCUGGAGCUGAGAGACCUCCUACUUCCUGGUUGCCCCUACUCGUCUGUGAUUGGUGUGGCAGAGAUUCCUGCGAGGCAGCCAAUCAGAGGACAUCAAUCAGCAGGCUGCACCUUAUAAAAGGAUCGUGUGUCCACAGUUCAUGGCGGCUGUGAGACAGUGAACAGUCUGCCUUUGCUAUUGGUUAUAUCAAUUUGUGUAAAUUAAGAGUAUUGUGUUAGUGUGUGUGGUGCAGUAUUGUUCGACUGUUUGAGGGGUUUCAAACCUUGUGUUAUCUUAGGACACUUUGUUAAUUCUGUAGUUUACAACUUUGUUUGUUAAUGAAUACCAAGACUUUGGACACCCUUUGUUAAAAUCCUAGUUUGUUUUGUUUCUUAGUUUUGUGUAAGCUUAUGGUUGCUGACCUCCUUUUGUUCUAAAGUGUUUUGUGUAAACCAAGAGUUUGGUAAUUUAUGUUAGUUGUAUAUUGUAUUGCAUAUUGUCAGCUCCAUACAGCCUCUUUUUGUUAGCUUUUGUUGUAAAAGCAUCCUCUUACUGGUUAAUAAAACCCUGAUUUAACCAGAACCUCCCAGUGUUACGUUCCACCUUCAUUUCUAUACCCUUUUCACAUGUUACUGCUCUCAAAAUCGAGCCGGGUCGUAACAUAAAUGGGGGCUCGUCCGGGAUAGAAAUGUAAAUGUAAAUUGACACUGGAGUCAGGUUUGUCAGUGUUUUGUUGGUAAGAGUUUGCUGAGCUCCUUUAACUACUAGGUAGGUGAGUUCAUUAGUGGAUUCAGCUGUCUACUAGAGUGAGUGCUGCUGCCUCCUGAGCACCAUGGCAGAAAAGUUUAAUUUGGAUAACUUUGUAGUGCAUCCUACUAUUGAACAGGUACAUAGUUGUAGGAAGGAUGAUUUAGUAAAGAUAGCUUGUCACUUCAUGAUUCCCAUUGUCAGGUCCAUGCUUAAAAGAGAAAUUAAAGAACAAGUGAUUAGUGGAUUGGUGGAACAGGGUGUGAUUACUCUGACUGAGCAGUUGCAGUCUGUGUCUCUUCCCAGUUCCUCAGCAGAAGCUGAGAGUGGUCCAGGUACUGAGACACCCUCAGACUCUGGGAAAGUCUACCAGGCAGGUGAGCGAGCAAAGACCCCGUUUACUCUGCCUAAGUAUGAUCCUUCCCCACAGAGCAGUACUGGCCAUACCGAGGCUCGGCUUAAAGUUCGUCUUGCUCGGUUACAACUGGAAGCUCAGCAGCGGGAAACUCAGUCCAAGCUCCAGCUCCAGUUGGAAAUAAGAAGAGCUGAACUGCAGGAGGAAACUGAGAGGGCAGUGAGACUGAGGCAACUUGAGCUUGAGGCUUCUGCCAUGGGGCGAAGUGCUCCUAGAGGUUCAGGUAUGUCACCACCUUCCGCCACUUCCACUAGUUCACCUCAGAUGGCAUUUGACAUUAGUAAGCAUGUGGCUUUAGUUCCUGUAUUUCGGGAUAAUGAAGUUGACUCCUAUUUUAAUGUAUUUGAGAGGAUAGCGGCUGCUUUACAAUGGCCACCUGAAGUAUGGACGCUUCUGCUUCAGUUUAAAAUGCAUGGCAAAGCUCAGGAUGCUAUGGCUGCACUCCCUGUUGAAGAUAGCUUAGACUAUGAAACUGUUAAAACGGCUAUCCUAAGAGCAUAUGAACUUGUGCCUGAAGCGUACAGACAAAAGUUUCGAGGUCACAAGAAAACUUCUGCUCAGACCUAUGUUGAGUUUGCCCGUGAGAAGGGAACACUUUUUGAUAAAUGGUGUACAACAUGUUAAGCAUGUGAUUUCAAUGCUUUGAGAGAGCUGAUCCUGCUAGAGGACUUCAAGAAGUGUUUGUCUGAAAGAAUUGUUGUGUAUCUGAAUGAGCAGAAAGUGAGUACACUUUCUUCUGCUGCUGUUCUGGCAGAUGAGUAUGUGUUAACCCAUAAAUCUGUUUUUUCUCCAGUCUCUGCUGUUUCACGACACUCCUCUCCUCCCAGACCCUCAAAUCCCCGUGGGCCGAAAGAGGACAGGGAAUGUUUUUACUGUCAUCAGGUUGGCCAUGUCAUUGCAAAUUGCUUGACACUAAAACGCAGAGAGCAGUCCUCACGCCAUUCUCAAGCAAAAGGGGUAGGACUGAUUAAAGCAGAUCGUAGAGUUAACACUGACUCAUCUGAUCAGAAGAUUGAUGACUGUUUUAAGCCAUUUGUGUUCGAUGCUUUUGUGUCACUGACUGGUGAGUCAGCUGAUAGACGUCCCAUACGUGCUUUGAGGGAUACUGCAUGCUCUCAAUCUGUUGUUCUGGCUUCAGCUCUGCCUUUCUCUGAUAACUCUGCUUGUCACUACAGUUCAGUUCUGAGAGGAGUUGAAAUGGGUUAUGUGCCACGACCAGUGCACCGCGUCCAUAUCCAGUCCUCUCUUGUUACUGGGUUCUUUCCAGUAGCGGUUUGUACUGAACUGCCGAUCCCUGGUAUCGUGCUCCUGAUGGGGAACGAUAUCGCUGGUGGUAAGGUAACGCCCACAUUAGAAGUCCUAGAUCACCCCCAGUGUGAUGGGAUCCACACCUCAGAUCAGACACCCCCCAAUGUAUUUCCAGCCUGCGCUGUAACUCGCGCUCGCUCUCGUGAAAUUGGCCCAGAUGAUCCUGAAGUUUCCUUGUCUGACAGUUUAUUUCUGUCAGUUUUUUCAGAUGACAAAGAGGAGAAAGAGUCUGAGAGCUUCUUGCCUGUUCAGGCUGAGUCUGCUGAGCAAACGCCCCCGACUGGCUCAGAACUGCCGUUAUCUGGAGCGACUCAUGCGGUGGGCACUGUUGGUCCAGGACUACCACCUUGACAUCAGGCAUAAAAAAGGGACUGAAAAUGUCUUGGCUGAUGUAUUGUCUCGGCUGUAGAGCUUAUGUAUUGUGUAUCCUUAAUGUCAAAGCCGUAAGGGCUUGUAAUUUAAGGGGGGGGAGUGUUACGGCUGCCUGCCGUUUCUUUAUUUAUUGUAUUGUUUCCCUGCAUCAUUCUGCAUUUAUGUAAAUUCAGCUGUGAGGUUGCCUGGAGGAGAUUGGAUCUUCUGGAGCUGAGAGACCUCCUACUUCCUGGUUGCCCCUACUCGUCUGUGAUUGGUGUGGCAGAGAUUCCUGCGAGGCAGCCAAUCAGAGGACAUCAAUCAGCAGGCUGCACCUUAUAAAAGGAUCGUGUGUCCACAGUUCAUGGCGGCUGUGAGACAGUGAACAGUCUGCCUUUGCUAUUGGUUAUAUCAAUUUGUGUAAAUUAAGAGUAUUGUGUUAGUGUGUGUGGUGCAGUAUUGUUCGACUGUUUGAGGGGUUUCAAACCUUGUGUUAUCUUAGGACACUUUGUUAAUUCUGUAGUUUACAACUUUGUUUGUUAAUGAAUACCAAGACUUUGGACACCCUUUGUUAAAAUCCUAGUUUGUUUUGUUUCUUAGUUUUGUGUAAGCUUAUGGUUGCUGACCUCCUUUUGUUCUAAAGUGUUUUGUGUAAACCAAGAGUUUGGUAAUUUAUGUUAGUUGUAUAUUGUAUUGCAUAUUGUCAGCUCCAUACAGCCUCUUUUUGUUAGCUUUUGUUGUAAAAGCAUCCUCUUACUGGUUAAUAAAACCCUGAUUUAACCAGAA
This is an RNA transcript of Centropristis striata (black sea bass), 3666 nucleotides long. RefSeq lists it as uncharacterized. The record is from RefSeq and is a predicted model, not a curated record. NCBI's taxonomy places the organism in Eukaryota, Metazoa, Chordata, Actinopteri, Perciformes, Serranidae. The transcript has 2 exons.